CGCUUCAAAAGACAUCUUCACACUUUUGAGAAUAAAUAAAAGAAAAAUAAAGUGAAUAAUUUCCUCUUAAGGUUUGUAAAGUUAGCAUUUCAUUUCAAAGGAAGAAUCUCUAAGGUGACUAUAUAAGUCAGUUAUUUGUGGAAUUAGGUGAGAUAGACAUAUUGACUUUGUUAUGUUGAAUUUUGGGUAUAAUUAUCUCUCUCUUACAUGAUAUGAUGAGUAUUGUGAGGGAUAUGAAUGGUUACAUAAUGAUGGGUUGCCGAGCUGAGAGAGAUUGAAUUUCGACUUCACUUAAUUCGUUUCACUUCUUAAAUCAUUGUCAGAUUAUUUUUUUAUUACUUGAGAACAAGCAAUAAUUUAAGUGUGAAGGAAUUUGAUAAGUGUUUAUUAUAUAUGGAUAUUAGUAGCAUUUUAUGUCUGUUUUUGGUAUAAAUUAGGAUGAUUUAAGAUAUAACUUGUUCCUCAAGCAUCUAAAUUUUACAAGUUUCAUUUGAGCAACUUAAUGUGCAAAAAACGGUUAUAUUUGCAGGAAUUGAGGAGAGCUUUCAAUGUUGGAGCGAGAUGGAUUCGAUUCGAAGUAAUUAACUCUUGAUUCAACGGUAAUUCAAAAAGUAGAAGAUCAAAUACAAGUAUUAAUGGUGCAUUACAUGAACAAACAUCUGGACAUGAUGAUUAGUGAGGAAUUAGAGUAAAAAACAAUCGAGAAAGCAAUCUAGAAGGCAAUCCGUGGCCUUAGGUUGCGUAUUGGGUGGUCGCGUAUUCUCCCCUAUUUUUCUACAACUUGUUCUGCAAAUUGCUCUGUUUUCACACUGCUUUUCAGCUCAAUUUUACCUCAAAAUUUCGGCUGCACAUGCUCAAGAUUCCUUAGGGAAAAGAAAAGGAGUUUUGUGUUUUAUCAUUAACCAUUUUUUUGACUUUCUUAACAAUAUAUAUGAAAGAAUCAUUGAGAAGAGACGGGAUUAUUAGUAGUUCUUAGUAGACAUUAGUUUUAGUUCUUUUCUCAUUCUUAGUGUGAGAACCCGUAAAUUUUCGUAUUUUCUAGGGUUUUGUUUUAUUUAAUCGCACGUUUUUCUGUAAUUUCUUUAUUAGAAAAUUUUCUAACUCGUUUUAUGAGUAAAUAGGAUUUUUAAAACAUUUUUCUAGUAUAAUUGAAUUUAUGAGAUUUUUGGAGCAUAUACCGGGCGUGGGACCCGCUAGUGCGGAAAGUUUGGUAAUAUUCGGCCAAUUAGGUUAAGUUUUGUAUACAGGAUUUAAUUUACUAGGUGCUAAUAGAUAAUUAAAGGAUAUCAUUUAGAUGAGUGUUGAGGAAACAAAAGGAUAGCUUAGCAUUUAUGAGAGUGACAAGUGUCACCUUGUGAUUUAUUCUUGAAUUUUGACCACUAUUCAUUACUUUACCAAUUUUAAAAAAAAAUUGACCAAAAAUUUCUCAUUUUCCUCAUCUUCUUGGCCAGCCAUCUUCAAGCAAAAAGGAAGAAGAACCUCUCCACUUUCUUAUCUCUAAUCUUGCCCAAUCUUUCAAUUCAACCGUUUAAUCUUCAAAUUACUCCAUAAAACCUUUUAGUUUAGUGGUAUUAAGGUUGGUUGUAAAGUGGUUUGGAAGACCAAGGUGCUAAAUUGGGUCUUUUCUUGGGUUUGCAAGGUAUGUGACCAAGGAACCUUCCCUUUGAUCCUAAUAAUGCUCAAUUGGUACCUUAUGUGAGUUAAAGAGAUAAUUUUAGGUGCUAUUUUGUGAUUUUUGGUUGAAAUAAGUGAAUUUUCCUAUUUAUUCAUGAUUUUUCUGUUUUUAUAUGUUUAAUGUUGUUGAGCUAUGGAUGACGACUUGGAAUGGUUUAGAAUGAAGCUUGGAUGCGUAAAUUGUAGCCAUUUGCGGAAAAUUUCCGCUUUGAACCGAAAUUUCCAGAUUAGGGUUUCCAUUUUUCCCCUUCUGCCUGGUACUGUUUUCCCCAGUUAGAGGCCGAAUUACCCUUGGGUUAAAACAUGAAAGUUGUAUAGAAUGAUAUUUUAUAGUUUCCUGCAAAAUUUCAACUCAAUCGGAGCAACGUAGCCUAUAAAAAGACCGAAAUACCCCUGCUACCCUGUUUAUGUCCGAACCUGCUAAUCCGCUUCUAUAAUUGGUUAGUUUGACCAGGAAUACUACUGAUGUGGUUGUCGGUGUCUUCUUAAGACUUAUACCCUUGUAUCUUAGCUUUCAAAUGGCUUUGGAAUCACUUGAAUUGGAGUUGUAUAUGCUGAGAUAUGACUAAAUGAAUCAAGACUGCCACAGUAAACUUCGAAUUGGAAAAUCUGGGGUUGUUUUGAUACAUUUGACUUAGAUACAUUGCAAACUGGACUGAGUGGCCUUCUUUAACAUUGUAGCCCUUUCUCUUAGUUUCGAAACGCUAUAAAUUACAUCUCAAUCCAACAAGGAUAGCUUCAGUUGUGUUAAUUCCGCUAAGCAACAGCAAAUCUGCCUUUUGUUUUCCAACCCAAACUUCGUUUCCGCAUAUGUCCUAGUUUGAUUUUGCACUUAUACGUUCCAUAUAAUUUUACUCUAGUGAGUGGAUUCGGUUUAUGACUCGUAUUCGAACCUUAUUGUGGCUCUAAUUAAAAUUGUUUGAUAGCUUGUGAUUUGUGGGUGCUGAGGUUUGGUUGAAAAGUAAAGAAAGACAUGGCAAAUGCUGUCAAAAUUUUCGUGGAGCUUCUGCACAGUCUCGGGAAAUUUGCUAUAUCUUGAUGUAGGAAUGUCGGAAUUGAAUUCCGUUUGUUGCAUUUUAAACUAGAUUCAUAGGGCUAUAAACCGUGUAAAUUUCAGACCCUGUUUAUGUUUGUACCAUUUAUGGUGAUUUUCAAAGUUGACUGAAAUAUUGUACCUGUUCUGUCUUUCACUGGAUAAAGCAGCAACUUGAUGCUUGAAUUUGACUGAGUUGCGUUCUGAAUCUUAUGAGGGUGUUCUCUGGAAAGUUAUAUCCCUUUGAAUGUAUUUUCCAACGGUAUAACUUUUACUAAUUUUGGACUUAUAAAACUUGAGAUAUGAUUUUUCAUAUAGGGUUGCGCGAAACUGGAAAAUCCUGUUUUCCUAGUAUCGAUCUUACUUUCAUUUUCUACUUCAAAUUUGGAGUUGGUCAGUCAUUGUAGGUAGGGGUUUUGAGAUUGUUCAUGCCUUUACGACUAAUUGUUAUCUUUUCACUCCAAAGUCACAUCUUCGCUUUACAUUAAUGGUUCAUUUGGAUUGGCACCUGACUUGUAAUCGAGUUUUACUUGCGAAUUCCACUUAUUAGGUCUUGGAGUCCAGUCUUAAGUGUUUGCUUUGAUUGUUCUAGGAGGUGCCAGCGAGUAAAGCCAUACUUGGGAAGGAAACUUUUGAAAUUAUCCUUGUUUGAUCAGGUGAGUGCACCACUCCCCUGAGUUAUUGCUAAACUGAUUUUCUGUACCUGCAACUUGCUAUUUGAAUAUCUUUCCUGACUGUUUAUCUUGUAUGAGACGAGGGUGUAUUUUAUCACACUCGUUCUCUUGCCUGUACUGAACGAACUGGAAUACUUGCUAUGUACUUGAACUUGUUACUUGUACUUGUUAUGCAAUCGUUUGGAAGUGUGUCCAACGAUCGUCCUAUUAAACUUGAUCGUCCUGUUAAACUUGAACUCAACCUCAUGGGGAGUUAAUUAAAUCGAGCCAGCAAGGGUUUGGUCGAGAUAAUUGACAAUCCAUGGGUACCUGUUCCUGGGGAAUCUUUGGGUAUUUAGAUUCUUGAUUCCGAUAUACUCGAGUAUUACCAUUCCUGUUCCUGUUUGGCAUUCGGAUCCGGUAAGGGGUAUGUUUGGUGAACGGGGUUUUGGCGUUAAAGUGGUGUUCUACUGGACUGAUUUCUUUUUCAAACGUUGACGGAGGGUCAACGAGGCGGGAUCAAGUAUAGCAACGGGGAUUUGGCUCCUGAGAGCCACCUGUAUCCUUUACAUUGUGAUGUUCAUUCAUUUCUCGUAUUUGAUGUGAAUAUGUGCCUCCAAAGUGCUUUCUCAUGAAUUCUACUGAUUCUACUGUUUAUACUGUUGGUACCUCAUUGAGCUUUUAACUCACCCCGUUCCAUUAUCCUUGUUUUCCUUACAGGGAACCAUCUUUUGGAACUGCAAUGUUUUGAGAAAUGAGUUGAGUUAGUUAGAAAUUCUUUUGUUCUCUUGGUAUAGCUCCUCGACAACUUGGAAACCCUAAAUGUAUCUUAAUACAAUGUUUCCUUUUGGAUUUGUAAACUUACUAAUAUAUAUAUUUAAAAUGUUUCCUCAUGUUUAUGUGAUAUAUAUAUUCGGGAAUGUACAUUCUUUCAUGGUAAACAAAGUGUACGUGUACUUGGUUAGAUCCUAAAUGGUGGCGGCCCUUCCAUUUCGUUGUGAUUCGUGUAGUUUUAUUCCGGUUUUGAUGGAGGUAUGACUGAGUCCCGGCGAAAGCUGGGCAAGCGGUCCGCCGAACCUUUUGGUUCGCCUUAGGGUGAGGUGGGGCUGUCACAGGUGGUAUCAAAGCUGCUUCGCGUGGUUUCUGCGCGGAGUGAGAUUGGGCCAAGUGGUGUUAUGGUCCCGAUUCCGUGAAUGUGUACCAAUAUAUAAGUGCUCUUUGAGAAUAAGCUAUGGAUCGUGAAGCGUUAUAAGUUAUAAACCUUUAUCAUGGCGCUUUGGGAUAGUAGAUCUGUAGGUCAGGUAAGAAUCUCAAUUGUAAAUACCCUUGGGACUGGCCAGCCCGAGUCAUGAAUUAUCUUAUUUUGGGAUUCUUGUACCCGACUACUAAAUAGAUGAGAGUCUAGGUUAGAAGUGACUUGGGCGAACUAGAAUUUGAUUCUACGGGACAUCAUGUAAUGUGUUAGGGUAAAACUAAGGAUGAUUGACCCUGCCUAAGAUAUAAAUUAGGUUAUUCUUGUGGAUCAUGCCUGGAACCCUAAAGAGUGACAGCUUUGAGUUGGUUGGUCUUGUACCAUUGGUCUAGUUAGUAAUAUUCAUGAUGGUUCAUUUUGCUUGUAUUUAAUUGACUGUUAUUGUGUGAUCUGUUUGUGUUAGAUGUGCUAUAUGUAUAUUACCUACUUCUAUCACUUAUACUGCAUACUUUGUUUUAAUAUUAUAUUCGCGCUUCACCCCUAGACUGGUUAAGCCAAAAGGACGGUACUCGUAGUGGACGGGGACGGGGGCGCGGAACCUCAAAUGAAGGAGGAAAUCGGGAACCAAUGCUUGGACCUAAUCCCGAACUUGGAGUGCACCCUAAAGUUCAGGUAGCUGCCGCUAUCCAACAUAUGACUGACCUUUUGGCACACGUAAUAGAACAUCAGGGUCAAAAUCCCAAUCAUCAGCUGGGAAACCCUGGUAAUCACAUUGAGGGUGAGGAUAGAGCUCUCGAAAGAUUUCAGAAGUUCUUGCUACCUAAAUUCCUGGGGGGACCAGACCCUGACGUGGCCGAGAGAUGGCUAGAGAAGAUGAUUGAUAUAUUUGCCGCGUUACAUUAUACUGAGGAGCGACAUGUCACAUUUGCUGUCUUCCAACUAGAGGGAGCAGCCCGUUCUUGGUGGAAUAUCAUAAGACUGAAAUGGGAAAGAGAACAAACCCCAAGGACGUGGGUGAAUUUCAUGAGAGAGUUCAACACGAAGUAUUUUCCACCCCUGAUCCAGGAAAAGAAAGAAGAUGAGUUUAUUAGGCUCCACCAGGGAACUCAAACCGUCGUCGAAUAUGAGAGCCAGUUCACCAGAUUGUCCAAAUUCGCUCCCGAACUAAUAAUGACUGAGCAAAGGAGGAGAAGGCGUUUUGUCCAAGGAUUAAAUGUUGAGAUCCAGAAAGACCUGGUUGUAGCCCAACUCAAUACCUUUAGUGAUGCGGUAAAGAAAGUUCAACGAGUUGAAAGUGCAAAAUUUCAAGUUAGAAACUUUCAAGCUAACAAAAGGGAAUUUCCUGGAAGUACCUCAGAGCAAGGGGAUAAGGGUACGCCUCCUAAGAUUGGAAGGGGAAACGAGGAAGUACAAUUACCAAGAAUGUCAAGUGGUGCCUCACAGAGAGGCUCAGUCUCCGCUUCUCGUGGUCCCUGCGGGUACUGUGGGAAACCGAAUCACACGGAGGAUGUCUGCUGGAAGAAAGGAAGGAAAUGUCUGCGUUGUGGGAGCGCAGAUCAUCAAAUCGCAAAUUGCCCAGGCCGAUCUUGAGAAGGGAGUAGGAGCCAACAGCCAACCACCACCAACCCUGACCAGUCGAAGGGGGAAAAGAAUGGAUCGAAAGUGUCAACUCGGGUGUACUCCUUAGAACAACAUCAAGUCUCUGACCCAUAUGAGAACGUGGAAGGUAAGAUUCUAGUAUCCCACCGUUUGCCAGCUAGAAUGGUGUAUAAGAAUUGGAAUUUGGCAAGGAAGAAGAAACUAUACCAAAGAAUUCAAUGAGCCUGGUUAGUGAAGGGGUACAGAUUGGUUAGCUAAGUAUGAUACUCAAUUUGACUGUGAGAUGGAAGUAGUAAAAUUUUUGUAUCCCGAAAAAGACGAUGAUAAGGAAUUUCGAGGACGAAAUUCUUUUAAGAGGGAGAGAUAGGGAUGGCAAUGGGGGCGGGUGCCCGCGGGUGCCCGCCCGCGGGGGGCUCACGGGGCGGGGGUUGGGGCGGGGGGUGGGGCGGGGGCGGGAGGGAAUUUUUUCCCCCCGCUUAGAAACGGGGCGGGGGGGCGGGGGAGUAUACCCCCGCCCCAUCCCCCGCCCCGCCACCCGCAAAAAAAAAAUGUAUAUAUAUAUAUAUAUAAAUGACUAUAUAUUAUAUGUAAGUUAAUUAGUUAUAAACUUAUGAUAAUGAUAUUAUUAGUUAGAUGUAUUAUAUAAUGUAUAUUAGUUUAUGUAAUAUAAUUGAUAUUAUCAAUUAUAUGAAUAAUUAUACAUGUCUACUAAUAGAAUUUAUUAAUUAGUUAUACUAAAUUUACUAAUACAUUUAUACUAAAUUUCUAAUUACACUUAAUAGAAUAACACUUUUUUCUCAAAAAAAAAACACAAACACAAUGAUGAAUUAGUGAUUGCAUUUGUACUAAAAGUGAAAAUUUGACUAUUUUAGUUAUAUUUAUUUCAUCAUAUUGGAUUGUAUUCAAAUAACUUCUGUUUGAUUGUUUUUAUGAGUUUCAAUUGUAAAAUUACAAUGAAUAAUAAUUUGGUGAUGUGUUGAUAUUUUAGUACUUGAUUAUUUAUUUAAAAUUUAAUUAUAAUAAAAUUAUAUAAUAAAAUUUUAUUAACCCCGCGGGGGAAGCGGGGCAAGGCGGGGGGGGGGCGGCGGGGGGAGCGGGAGGCGGGGGACGGGGCGGGGGAUGGGGGGAACUAAUAGGCAACGGGGCGGGGGACGGGGGAGGGGUCCCCCGCCCCAACCCCGCCCCGUUGCCAUCCCUAGGGAGAGAGUGUGAAAACCCGUAAAUUUUCGUAUUUUCUAGGGUUUUGUUUUAUUUAAUCGCACGUUUUUCUGUAAUUUCUUUAUUAGAAAAUUUUCUAACUUGUUUUAUGAGUAAAUAGGGUUUUUAAAAUAUUUUUCUAGUAUAAUUGAGUUCAUGAGAUUUUUGGAGCGUAUACCGGGCGUGGGACCCGCUAGUGCGGAAAGUUCGGUAAUAUUCGGCCAAGUAGGUUAAAUUUUGUACACAGGAUUUAAUUUAUUAGGUACUAAGAGAUAAUUAGAGGAUAUCAUUUAGAUGAGUGUUGAGGAAACAAAAGGAUAGCUUAGCAUUUAUGAGGGUGACAAGUGUCACCUUGUGAUUUAUUCUUGAAUUUUGACCACUAUUCAUUACUUUACCAAUUAAAACAAAAAUUGACCAAAAAUUGACCAUUUUCUUCAUCUUCUUGGCCAGCCAUCUUCAAGCAAAAAGGAAGAAAAACCUCUCCACUUUCUUACCUCUAAUCUUGCCCAAUCUUUCAAUUCAACCGUUUAAUCUUCAAAUUACUCCAUAAAAUCUUUUAGUUUAGUGGUAUUAAGGUUGGUUGUGAAGUGGUUUGGAAGACCAAGGUGCUAAAUUGGGUCUUUUCUUGGGUUUGCAAGGUAUGUGACCAAGGAACCUUCCCUUUGAUCCUAAUAAUGCUCAAUUGGUACCUUAUGUGAGUUAAAGAGAUAAUUUUAGGUGCUAUUUUGUGACUUUUGUUUAAAUAGGUGAAUUUUCCUAUUUAUUCAUGAUUUUUCUGUUUUUAUAUGUUUAAUGUUGUUGAGCUAUGGAUGAUGGCUUGGAAUGGUUUAGAAUGAAGCUUGGAUGCAUAAAUUAUAGCUAUUUGCGGAAAAUUUCCGCUUUGAACCGAAAUUUCCAGAUUAGGGUUUCCAUUUUUUUCCCUUCUAUCUGAUACUUUUUUCCCUAGUUAGAGGCCGAAUUAGCCUUGGGUUAAAACGUAAAAGUUGUAUAGAAUGAUAUUUUAUAACUGUCUGCAAAAUUUCAACUCAAUCGGAGCAACAUAGCUCGUAAAAAGACUGAAAUACCCCUGCUACCCUGUUUAUGUCCGAACCUGCUAAUCCGCUUCUGUAAUUGGUUAGUUUUACCAGGAAUACUACUGAUUUAGUUGUCAGUGUCUUCUUAAGACUUAUACCCUUGUAUCUUAGCUUUCAAAUGGCUUUGGAAUCACUUGAAUUGGAGUUGUAUAUGCUGAGAUAUGACUGAAUGAAUCAGGACUGCCACAGUAAUCUUUGAAUUGGAAAAUCUGGGGUUAUUUUGGUAAAUUUGACUUAGAUACAUUGCAAACUGGACUGAGUGGCCUUCUUUAACAUUGUAACCCUUUCUCUUAGUUUCGAAACGCUAUAAAUUACACCUCAAUCCAACAAGGAUAGCUUCAGUUGUGUUAAUUCCGCUAAGCAACAGCAAAUCUGCCUUUUGUUUUCCAACCCAAACUUCGUUUCCGCAUAUGUCCUAAUUUGAUUUUGCACUUAUACGUUCCAUAUGAUUUUACUCUAGUGAUAUGUGGAUUCGGUUUAUGACUCGUAUUUGAACCUUAUUGUGGCUAUAAUUAAAGGUGUUUGAUAGCUUGUGAUUUGUGGGUGUUGAGGUUAGGUUGGAAAGUAAAGAAAGACAAGGCAAAUGCUGUCAAAAUUUUUGUGGAGCUUCUGCACAGUCUCAGAAAAUUUGCUAUAUCUUGAUGUAGGAAUGUUGGAAUUGAGUUCCGUUUAUUGCGUUUUAAACUAGAUUCAUAGGGCUAUAAACUGUGUAAAUUUUAGACCCUGUUUAUGUUUGUACCAUUUAUGGUGAUUUUCAAAGUUGACUGAAAUAUUGUACCUGUUCUGUCUUUCACUGGAUAAAGCAACAACUUGAGGCUUGAAUUUGACUGAGUUGCGUUCUGAAUCUUAUGAGGGUGUUCUCUGGAAAGUUAUAUCCCUUUGAAUGUAUUUUCCAACGGUAUAACUUUUACUAAUUUUGGACUUAUAAAACUUGAGAUAUGAUUUUUCAUAUAGGGUUGCGCGAAACUGGAAAAUCCGAUUUUCCUAGUAUUGAUCUUACUUUCAUUUUCUACUUCAAAUUUGGAGUUGGUCAGUCAUUGUAGGUAGGGGUUUUGAGAUUGUUCAUGCCUUUACGACUAAUCGUUAUCUUUUCACUCCAAAGUCACCUCUUCGCUUUACAUUAAUGGUUCAUUUGGAUAGGCACCUGACUUGUAAUCGAGUUUUACUUGCGAAUUCCACUUAUUAGGUCUUGGAGUCCAGUCUUAAGUGUUUGCCUUGAUUGUUCUAGGAGGUGCCGGCGAGUAAAGCCUUACUUGGGAAGGAAACUUUUGAAAUUAUCCUUGUUUGAUCAGGUGAGUGCACCACUCCCCUGAGUUAUUGCUAAACUGAUUUUCUGUACUUGUAACUUGCUAUUUGAAUAUCUUUCCUGACUGUUUAUCUUGUAUGAGACGAGGGUGUAAUUUAUCACACUCGUUCUCUUGCCUGUACUGAACGAACUGGAAUACUUGCUAUGUACUUGAACUUGUUACUUGUACUUGUUAUGCAAUCGUUUGGAAGUGUGUCCAACGAUCGUCCUAUUAAACUUGAUCGUCCUGUUAAACUUGAGCUCAACCUCAUGGGGAGUUAAUUAAAUCGAGCCAGCAAGGGCUUGGUCGAGAUAAUUGACAAUCCAUGGGUACCUGUUCCUCGGGAGUCUUUGGGUAUUGAGACUCUUGAUUCCGGUAUACUCGAGUAUUACCAUUCCUGUUCCUGUUUGGCAUUCGGACCCGGUAAGGGGUAUGUUUGGUGAACGGGGUUUUGACGUUAAAGUGGUGUUCUACCGGACUGGUUUCUUUUUCGAACGUUGACGGAGGGUCAACGAGGCGGGAUCAAAUAUAGCAACGGGGAUUUGGCUCCUGAGGGCCACCUGUAUCCUUUACAUUGUUAUGUUCAUUUAUUUCUCGUAUUUGAUGUGAAUACAUGCCUCCAAAGUGCUUUCUCAUGAAUUCUACUGAUUCUACUGUUUAUACUGUUGGUACCUCAUUGAGCUUUUAGCUUACCCCGUUCCGUUAUCCUUGUUUUCCUGACAGGGAACCAUCUUUUGGAACUGCAAUGUUUUGAGAAAUGAGUUGAGCUAGUUAGAAAUUCUUUUGUUCUCUUGGUGUAGCUCCUCGACAACUUGGAAACCCUAAAUAUAUCUUAAUACAAUGUUUCCUUUUGGAUUUGU
Molecule: long non-coding RNA, 10567 nt
Filed under: Coffea arabica (coffee)
Lineage: Eukaryota; Viridiplantae; Streptophyta; Magnoliopsida; Gentianales; Rubiaceae
Description: long non-coding RNA (CARA_LNC001317)
Source: RNAcentral